GCUAUUGAAGUUGAAACUAUAUGAAAAGAUUCAACUAGUGUUUUAACGUCAAAUUUACUAAAGUUUAAAUUAUAGCAACUGGAGAGAAUAACUUUCAGUAAAAGUUAAACUUAAUUACCUUCCAAAUAAAUUUUUGAACAUAAAAUAUUUUUCUUUUCUGCAUAAGAAAUAAUUCACCACCACAUACAUAUAUCUUUUUUUUGAGAGAUAGGUAGCACGCUACCCGCUUCGUUUAUUUCAUUUAGAAAUAAACUUAGCUGGAAAUGUGAAUCAACUAGGAUUCGAACUUGGGUCUCGGGUACCAACCACCAAGCCCUUUGCCACUUGCUCUAGGGACGGUCGGUACCACAUACAUAUAUCAAGUUAUAA
This 369-nucleotide long non-coding RNA is filed under the name Ananas comosus (pineapple). RNAcentral's name for it is "long non-coding RNA (ACOM_LNC006741)". The record is from RNAcentral. Lineage: Eukaryota; Viridiplantae; Streptophyta; Magnoliopsida; Poales; Bromeliaceae.